This 892-nucleotide ribosomal RNA is filed under the name Morchella sp. Mes-6. Its description in RNAcentral is "eukaryotic LSU rRNA". It matches the Rfam family "Eukaryotic large subunit ribosomal RNA", at positions 48 to 961 of the family's 3401-position model. Lineage: Eukaryota; Fungi; Ascomycota; Pezizomycetes; Pezizales; Morchellaceae. The record is from RNAcentral.
GGGCGGAGGAAAGAACCCAACAGGGAUUGCCUCAGUAACGGCGAGUGAAGCGGCAAAAGCUCAAAUUUUAAAGCUGGCACCUUCGGUGUCCGCGUUGUAAUUUUGUGAGGCAUCUCCGGGUAGGGCGCCGGCCUAAGUUCCUUGGAACAGGACGUCAUAGAGGGUGAGAAUCCCGUGCUUGGCUGGCUGUCCCCGUCCAUGUGAGGUGUCUUCGACGAGUCGAGUUGUUUGGGAAUGCAGCUCAAAAUGGGUGGUAAAUUUCAUCUAAAGCUAAAUAUUGGUGGGAGACCGAUAGCGCACAAGUAGAGUGAUCGAAAGAUGAAAAGCACUUUGAAAAUAGAGUUAAAAAGUACGUGAAAUUGUUGAAAGGGAAGCGCUUGAGACCAGACUUCGGUGGGGGGUGAUCAGCUGUCCUUCUGGGCGGUGCACUUGCUCCCCUCCGGGCCAGCAUCGGUUGGGGCGGCGGGAUAAAGAUCCCGGGAAUGUGGCUCCUUUCGGGGAGUGUUAUAGCCCGGGUGAAUGCCGCCAGCUCCGACCGAGGACCGCGCCUUCGGGCUAGGAUGCUUGGCAUAAUGGUCUUCAGCGACCCGUCUUGAAACACGGACCAAGGAGUCUAACAUCUAUGCGAGUGUUUGGGUGUCAAACCCUUACGCGAAAUGAAAGUGAACGGAGGUGGGAACCCGCAAGGGCGCACCAUCGACCGGUCCUGAAGUCUUCUGAAGGAUCUGAGUAGGAGCAUAGCUGUUGGGACCCGAAAGAUGGUGAACUAUGCCUGAAUAGGGUGAAGCCAGAGGAAACUCUGGUGGAGGCUCGCAGCGGUUCUGACGUGCAAAUCGAUCGUCAAAUUUGGGUAUAGGGGCGAAAGACUAAUCGAAUCAUGCUAAGUUCCCCU